AUGGAUUGGAGUUCAUCCUCAUCGUCUUCGUCUGAUGACUUGGACAUAGAAGAGAUGUUCGUCAGCGACAAUGUCGACAACCUAGUGUUGGUGCAUCUCGUGAACGAAAUUGAGGCGGGCCUGAAGAAAAAGCGGCGCGGAUCCAUGGUCGGCCGGCUAUGCAUUCCCCGCAACCGAGCUCUCGACGACAAGAUGCUCAUGAAGGACUACUUCGCCGAGGUACCGACAUAUCCGGUCACCUCUUUUGUAGGUGAUAUCGAAUGCGUAGGUCCCUAUUCGUGCGCAUCAUUGAAGCUUGGGAGCAAAAUUGUCAUAUUUUCACUCGGCAUAGGAAUGUCGCCGGUUUUUUUGGCUUUAGUGCAUAUCAAAAAAUAUCGGCAACGACGAGAGUGA
RNAcentral lists this ribosomal RNA (393 nucleotides) under Triticum aestivum (bread wheat). RNAcentral's name for it is "partial small subunit ribosomal RNA". The record is from RNAcentral. Lineage: Eukaryota; Viridiplantae; Streptophyta; Magnoliopsida; Poales; Poaceae.